CUGGGGUGGGUGUGGCUGACCUUGGCUGGUGGAUUGGUGGAGGGUGGCUGGUCCCCAGUGGCCUCAGUGAGGACAGCCCUACUGCCCUCCCCAUCUAGCAGGGCACCUGGGCUCACUUCCCUGCUGUAGCCAGAGUCCAAGAUGGCAGGCAGAGGCAUGAAUAUCUCUCAAAGCCCAAUCUCAGGACUGGCCGAACUUGGUUUCUGCAACUUUCACUGGCCAAGUACUCUACCUUUGGGAAGAGCUGUUCCUGUCAGAGCCAAGAUGUGUCGCCAUGGAAACUGCUUGGCAAAUGCUGGCAGGCAGAGGCGGCCAACAGCAGCUUGUGAGCUCCGGGUGCCCGUUGGAGUGACGCUUCAGGAGGGCGUGAACAGGCACGCCCGGCUGUGACAUGUGUGUAGCAAUAGGUGCUGACGAGAAGGGAUGAGGCGGCCACCGUCCCUCCCAGGCCCCUGCCACAUGCAGCCGCUGACCAGGUGCUAGGCCUGGAGGUGCCCAUGCCUUCCCUCAACGUGCUCAGGAGGUGCAGCGCCAGACAGAGCCAUGCCCCAUGUGCC
This 557-nucleotide long non-coding RNA is filed under the name Heterocephalus glaber (naked mole-rat). Its description in RNAcentral is "lncRNA (ENSHGLG00000039630.1)". The record is from RNAcentral. Lineage: Eukaryota; Metazoa; Chordata; Mammalia; Rodentia; Bathyergidae.